CCUACGGGAGGCAGCAGUGGGGAAUCUUGCGCAAUGGGCGAAAGCCUGACGCAGCCAUGCCGCGUGGAUGAUGAAGGUCUUAGGAUUGUAAAAUCCUUUCACCGGUGAAGAUAAUGACUGUAGCCGGAGAAGAAGCCCCGGCUAACUUCGUGCCAGCAGCCGCGGUAAUACGAAGGGGGCUAGCGUUGCUCGGAAUUACUGGGCGUAAAGGGAGCGUAGGCGGACAUUUAAGUCAGAGGUGAAAUCCCGGAGCUUAACUUCGGAACUGCCUUUGAUACUGGGUGUCUUGAGUGUGAGAGAGGUAUGUGGAACUCCGAGUGUAGAGGUGAAAUUCGUAGAUAUUCGGAAGAACACCAGUGGCGAAGGCGACAUACUGGCUCAUUACUGACGCUGAGGCUCGAAAGCGUGGGGAGCAAACAGGAUUAGAUACCCUGGUAGUCCACGCCGUAAACGAUGAUUGCUAGUUGUCGGGAAGCUUGCUUCUCGGUGACGCNGCUACGCAUAGACAUCCGCCGUGGGAGGUACGGUCGCGAGAUAACUACAAUAGAGUUAGACGGCGUGAGACGUGCCGACGGACGACGACGAGGGAGGUUAGG
Molecule: ribosomal RNA, 596 nt
Filed under: uncultured bacterium
Lineage: Bacteria
Description: bacterial SSU rRNA
Rfam family: Bacterial small subunit ribosomal RNA (bases 1-514)
Source: RNAcentral